RNAcentral lists this ribosomal RNA (434 nucleotides) under uncultured bacterium. RNAcentral describes it as "bacterial SSU rRNA". It matches the Rfam family "Bacterial small subunit ribosomal RNA", at positions 29 to 466 of the family's 1533-position model. The record is from RNAcentral.
AUUGAACGCUGGCGGCAUGCUUUACACAUGCAAGUCGAGCGGCAGCGCGGGGGCAACCCUGGCGGCGAGCGGCGAACGGGUGAGGAAUACAUCGGAACGUACCCCGGAGUGGGGGAUAACGCCGCGAAAGCGGCGCUAAUACCGCAUAUGCUCUGAGGAGGAAAGUGGGGGACCGCAAGGCCUCACGCUCUGGGAGCGGCCGAUGUCCGAUUAGCUGGUUGGUGGGGUAAAGGCCCACCAAGGCGACGAUCGGUAGCUGGUCUGAGAGGAUGAUCAGCCACACUGGGACUGAGACACGGCCCAGACUCCUACGGGAGGCAGCAGUGGGGAAUUUUGGACAAUGGGGGCAACCCUGAUCCAGCCAUGCCGCGUGCGGGAAGAAGGCCUCGGUUGUAAACCGCUUUAGUCGGAGAAAGGACAGAUCCUAAUAAGGU